UUCACUUACAGUCAUUUCUUUGCAGUGACUGGAAAAACACCCUCACUCUAACAUCUUCUCUUGCCUUUUCCUCUGUGAAGAACUCAGUAUUGAAGGUUUAAAGAAAAGACCAUGGCAAAGGGUUUCAGUAUCCUGCCAUGUCACGUGAACCAUGCAAGUGAUUAUGCGGAAGAAAGACACCUGCAUAUCUGUUGGUUGGAGAGUCCUACAGGCAGCUUACACUCUUUUUGGAUGCCAUAGGCAAGACACCCAAGUCUUGGCACCAACUCUCCCCAAACCCAACUUAUAUGAAAUUCAUUCCAUCUUUUUCAGUCCUAAAGGCUCUAAGUAGAGAAGGAGCCAAUGCCAUGGACAGGGUGUUCAGCUUGGAUCCAAACCCUAGAAGACAAUGGAGCCCCAUUGUGACUGACACAGUGAGCCACUGGAUGGCACUGUGGAUCCAUGCAGAUGAAGGUGGGCAGGCCAUUUGUCUUUCUUUUUAAAAGGCCAUUUUAGUUUGACAGGUAAU
This 508-nucleotide small RNA is filed under the name Rattus norvegicus (Norway rat). RNAcentral describes it as "uncharacterized LOC108349941". The record is from RNAcentral. Lineage: Eukaryota; Metazoa; Chordata; Mammalia; Rodentia; Muridae.